This 506-nucleotide ribosomal RNA is filed under the name uncultured bacterium. RNAcentral's name for it is "partial 16S ribosomal RNA". It matches the Rfam family "Bacterial small subunit ribosomal RNA", at positions 29 to 523 of the family's 1533-position model. The record is from RNAcentral.
AGUGAACGCUGGCGGUAGGCCUAACACAUGCAAGUCGAACGGCAGCACAGAGGAGCUUGCUCCUUGGGUGGCGAGUGGCGGACGGGUGAGGAAUACAUCGGAAUCUACUCUGUCGUGGGGGAUAACGUAGGGAAACUUACGCUAAUACCGCAUACGACCCACGGGUGAAAGCAGGGGAUCUUCGGACCUUGCGCGAUUGAAUGAGCCGAUGUCGGAUUAGCUAGUUGGCGGGGUAAAGGCCCACCACGGCGACGAUCCGUAGCUGGUCUGAGCGGAUGAUAAGCCAGAGUGGAACUGAGACACGGGCCAGAGUCCUAAAGGGGGAAGGAGUGGGGAAUAUUGGACAAAGGGCGCAGGCCUGAUCCAGCCAUACCGGGUGGGGGAAGAAGGACUUCGGGUUGGAAAGCCCUUUUGUUGGGAAAGAAAUCCAUCUGGUUAAUACCCGGGUGGGAUGACGGUACCCAAAGAAUAAGCACCGGCUAACUUCGUGCCAGCAGCCGCCGUAA